UCUCCGUAGGUGAACCUGCGGAAGGAUCAUUGUUGUAUAACCGAGGUGCGAGGGCUGUCGCUGACCCGAAAGGUCGUGCACGCCCGAGUGCCCUCACACACAUCCAUCUCACCCCUAUGUGCACCACCGCGUGGGUCCCCCUUUGGCUUGUUCGGAGGGGGGCUUACGUUUUCACACAAACUUUGUAUGCAGUGUAGAAUGUAUUUUUUGUUUUUGCGAUCACGCAAUCAAUACAACUUUCAACAACGGAUCUCUUGGCUCUC
RNAcentral lists this unclassified non-coding RNA (263 nucleotides) under plant metagenome. RNAcentral's name for it is "partial contains small subunit ribosomal RNA, internal transcribed spacer 1, and 5.8S ribosomal RNA". The record is from RNAcentral.